Molecule: long non-coding RNA, 1611 nt
Filed under: Homo sapiens (human)
Lineage: Eukaryota; Metazoa; Chordata; Mammalia; Primates; Hominidae
Description: HSALNT0189587
Source: RNAcentral
AAAAGAAUUGCCCAGUGGGGUAUGAAGGACACAAGAGUUCCUAUUCCCUGCUGAGAUUCCAGGAACUCAGGAGGUCAUUGUGUCCUGAAAUGUCCUAAAUGGCCACAAUCCCUGCUGGGUUCCCUCUGGUUUUCUCUUGAGUUGGAUUCCAUUCCCUCCCACUCUUCCUCUCCUGAGGGAGUCACAAGGAAUGGGCCAGCUGGAUGUAUGGAGGGAUUCAGCUUCAUUCAUGAUUCAGAGAUAGAGGGGUGGGGGCUUAGGUGGAUAUCAUUCCAUCCACACCUAUUAGACAGCCCAGAGGAGGGAAGGAAUGUGCCUGUCUGCUGUGUAGCAGAGUGUGUUGUGCACAGUGGAGCUGGGGCUAGCUUUGGGAGAAGUGUCCCAAGCAGCAGGAAUGUGAACAGAGGUCACGGUUGAGAGCUGGAAAGGUAGCUUCCCAAAGUCAUCAAGGAUGCAGGCUUCUGUAUUGCUGUUUCACCAUCCUGAGUUUUGGCUUUCACCCUCCUGGAUACUUCAUGGUCUCUAGUGAGUGCUGAAACUAUGGACCCUGGACCCACUCUGAAGGGAGCAGAAGGAGCUGGUCUGCCCCCCUUUAACAAGUCUUCUCAUCAGUCUCAUUCAGCAUUUCUGAUUCCAUCCCAACCACCACAUGGGAGACACAUGGCCACACCUAGCUGCAAGAGAAGCCAGGAAAUAUAGCUUAUCUGUUACACAUAUUGUCCAGGUUUUUGUCCCUGAGGAAGAAGGGGAGGAUGGAUUUUGGAUGGCAGUUAGCAUCCUCUACCACCCAGUUGGAAGGCUCUUGUAAUAAUCCCAGGGAGAGGUAAUGUUGGCUUUUACCAGUUGGUAGUGGAACAGAUGGUGCAGGUGGUCAGAAUCUAUAAUAUUUUGAAGGUAAAUCUGACAGCAUUUGCUGAAAAAUUGUGUGUGUGUGAGAGAGAGACAGAGAGAGAGAGAGAGGAAUUUCUGCUAUGGAAUAAAUGUUUGUGCCCCCCUAAAAUUCAUAUUUUGAAGUUCUAAUCCCCAAUGUGAUGGUAUUUGGAGGUGGGGCCUUUGGGAACUGAUUAGGUCAUGAGAGUGGAGCCCCCAUGCAUGGGAUUAGUGCCCAUUAUGAGAAGAGACCUCAAAGAGAUGACUGUUUCUCUGCCAUGUGAAGAUACAACAAAAAAGGAGGCUGUUGUCUGCAAACCAGGAAGCAGUCCCUCACCAGACACUGAAUCUGCUGGCACUUUGAUCUUGGAUUUUCCUGCUUCUACAAUGGCGAGAAAUAAACGUUUGUUGUUUAAGCCACUCAGUCUACCGUAAUUUGUUAUAUCAGCCCAAGCUGAUAAGCUUUGACUAAGAUCAAAGGGAGGAUGAUGCCAGGUUUUUGGCCCGAGCAGCUACAAGAAUGGGGUUGCUAUGGACUGAACUGAGAAAGGCUCUUGAAGGAGCCCCGUUGGUGAGGGAGUGUUGUCUUGGCUGUGUGAAGUUUGAGAGGCUUAAUAGACAUCUUGGUGGAGCUUUAAAGCAGGCAGUUUGAUACAUAAGGCUAAAGUUCUGGGGGUGUUUCUGGGCUGGAUGAUGUUUACAGCCAAAAGAUUGCAUGGGACUACCUUGGGCAUGGUACAG